RNAcentral lists this ribosomal RNA (441 nucleotides) under uncultured bacterium. RNAcentral describes it as "partial 16S ribosomal RNA". It matches the Rfam family "Bacterial small subunit ribosomal RNA", at positions 338 to 795 of the family's 1533-position model. The record is from RNAcentral.
CCUACGGGUGGCUGCAGUGGGGGAUAUUGCACAAUGGGGGGAACCCUGAUGCAGCGACGCCGCGUGGGUGAAGGAGGUCUUCGGCUUGUAAAGCCCUAUCGGCAGGGAAGAUGCAAGACGUUACUUGAGUAUGAGGCCCGGGCUAACUACGUGCCAGCAGCGGCGGUAAGACGGAGGGGGCGAGGGUUACCCGGAUUCACGGGGGGUAAAGGGAGCGUAGACGGCAAAGCAAGCCAGAGGUGAAAGCCCGGGGCUCAACCUCGGAACUGCCCUUGGAACUGCAUGGCUGGAGUGCGGGAGGGGCAGGCGGAAUUCCUGGUGUAGCGGUAAAAUGCGUAGAUAUCAGGAGGAACACCGGCGGCGAAGGCGGCCUGCUGGACCGCGACUGACGUUGAGGCUCGAAAGCGUGGGGAGCGAACAGGAUUAGAUACCCCAGUAGUC